Molecule: long non-coding RNA, 858 nt
Organism: Ahaetulla prasina
Lineage: Eukaryota; Metazoa; Chordata; Lepidosauria; Squamata; Colubridae
Exons: 3
Source: RefSeq, a predicted model, not a curated record
AAUAAAAUAAAAUAAAACCAGUUGCAGCCGGUUUUUAACCUCAGGACAUGGAAUUAUUGCUUCUAAAAAAAAUAAUAAAGAAAUAAGUUGGUCGGUGGCAUCAGAGGCAGCGCCCGGUUUUGACGCCCACCCCUGGCACCAGCAGGGAAGGGGGGGGCACUGGCUCGGCCUGCCCACCCCCCCAGCCCCCCAAGUGGAAAGGAGAUGCUGGCACCCUGCCAAAUUUGGCCUCCCAUUCGUAUGUGCUGAGGUGCCAGGUGCCAUGGUAGUAAUAAUCGGCGCCGACAAAAAUCUCCAGGGAUCACUUGCGAAAGGCAGCGUUGGGCGUGGAACAGCUGACACCCGUCAAGAGUUUCUUUAAUAUUACGAAACCGCCACAUCUGCCUCUCGAGAGGAAGAGAACCUUCUUCCCUGCAAGAAGAAAGCUAGCCAAACAGUUUUAAUAAUCGGCCGCACAGUAAUAGUUCUUUUUAAAUUCUUUUAAUUGUAUAUAUUCUGUGUUUUAUUUUGGCUGUACACCGCCCUGAGUCCUUCGGGAGAAGGGCGGUAUAGAAAUUUAAUAAAAUAAAUAAAAUAAAUAAAUAAACAACGGUGGAGCCGAACUUCCCCGACGGGGAGACCAACAAGUCAAGCCGAAAAUAGAGGAGAUGCUUAAAGCUUCCUAUAUCCUUCUUUUCAAGAAAUCGCAAACCCACGGAAGCGUCCACAUUUUAGCAGGCCAAGGAGACAAAAUUGGCUAAUUUGGGAGCGGAAAUUCAUCCAUUUCAAGGUUCCUUUAAAAAAAAAAAAAAAGAGCACCAGAAAAAAGAGGCAUCUAAUAGACAACAGGUUAAAAAAAAUAAAAUAAAGCUAUUUUGA